UUGCUCCUGGUUCUGUCCGGUUCUUGCGAACCGGUAGUAAAAGCGGCGGGAGGCUCCGCCCACCCGCCCAGAUGUCAUAAUGGAUGAUCUGCGCAUCCACACUUUCCUUGAGAACCGGUAGUAAAGGUAAGUAGAACCCACCCCUGGUGAAGGCUAAGAUAGAUUGCCCAGCUGUGGCUCCAGAUUUUCCACCUACAAACUUGCAAGGAGUCCUAGGCCCAUCAAGCCUUAACCCAUACUUUCCAAUGAAAAGUCAGCAGUCCUAGGAGAAGAACUUGUCACAGGCACUGACUGUUUAUACCCACCAACCAGCGGCUGAAGCUGUGAGAUGCUUUCCAAUGUCUGCCCAAAGUUUUACUCUUGUGCAGCUAACAUGGCUGUUCUGACAAUCAUUUCAAGCCUGCCUCAUCUUCUGAGAGAUUUAGAAGCAAGGUGGCCAUUGAAACAUCUGCAUAUUUCUGGUUCCUUCAGAAGCCCCCAGGAAGGCACCUGCUCCCUGAAGGGACUAUUUUCUGGCUGUUGUAAAUAAUUUCCUCUGUCAACCUCAGAGAGUCGGCCAGCUUCCUAGCCUCACCGCCUAAAGCCAGUGGGAUUUCCUCCGUCUCUACUUCACAGGCCUAUUUUUGGUGAGAAGGAAAAGUGGUGGGCAAACAGACAAAAGGAGCUUGCAAUCAACUCUCUCCUCCCUCGAACAUCAAAGUUGUUAAGGGUGUGUGAAGAACUUUGCUUCUCAUGCAGGGCUUGUGACUCAAGUUCUUUCUUUCUUUGAAUUGUUAUGCCCUCCGUUCAAGGAAAUAUCUACACUGGGCAAGUCCUAUGUAAAGUUGUAACCUCAAAGAGUGGAAGAUAUUUUAAAAAGUACCGUACUUGCCUGGUGCCAAGCAGACAUUAGUAGUGAAGACAACGCAAACCUUGCAGAGAACAAAUCCCAAUGAGAAGACUAUCAUAAUCAGAAAGAAUCUUCUUGACCUGGCACCCCCAGGUGCUCAUCUCAGAUGCUAGAGGCAUCUGGAGCAGAGCUUCAUUGGAUAGUUUCAGUCUACCGACCAAGCAAUUCUACUUGUCUUCCAAAAAAGUGAAGUUGAUUCUGCAAUUUAAUGACAUUACACAAAUGUCCACUC
Molecule: long non-coding RNA, 1121 nt
Organism: Pantherophis guttatus
Lineage: Eukaryota; Metazoa; Chordata; Lepidosauria; Squamata; Colubridae
Source: RefSeq, a predicted model, not a curated record